CAGAGUUACUACAAACUAUACGGUAUCUGAAGACACGUCGAUUCGAAUUAACAUCAAAUCGACGUCUUAAACAUUAAAAAUAAUAGAUAAACACAAUUUAAUAGUUUUGCCCACUUCUCACACCUCGUUAUGGUAUUUAAUCUAAUUUCCUUCUAAUCUUAGUUUUGCUCAAAAUACAUAUAACAUGUACGUUAUAAAUUGGAGUAUUUCAAUACACAAAUCAAUAGAAGAUUAUUACUGUAUAUAAGUAUAAUUUCAAUACAAUUCGAUCGAUAUAUUUCAGUAUCUUUGAUUAAAAAUUUAACGAUCCUUUCAGGCUGACCGCGGCGGACCACUGCUGAUACAACAUGAAUUAACCUCGUAUUUAAUAGGUAUUGUGUCUUAUGCUUAUAAGUGCGGCACAGCUGGGUAUCCCAGCGUUUACACUAGGGUCACAUCGUACCUUGACUUCAUUCUCCAAGCGAUGCAAUAAUAUGAUAUUACUGUUCCAUAAAUAUCAUUGUGUAAAAAACGUAAAGUUGGAUUUUCUUAUUGUGGAGAUAAGAAACAGCUCAAAUUUACAUUGUUUUGUACGUUACAAAUUAUAGGCUUAAAAUGUACGAAAUGUAACUUUGAAACGACACUAAUUUUUUACGCACGAUAAACCUCCACGACUUAGAUUAUAGAUUCCUAUACGACUCUCAGUAAAAAUUUAUCCGCACUCCAGAUAGUUAAAACUUCUGUCGACCGUAUUGAUCCAUCUGCACUCUUCGUAUGACGUCAAUAUCUGUUCAGUGCUGCUGCGCAGGUUUCUUUGUGUUACGUCAAUUCGUUUGUGACCGUUGCGCGAGUAAUGGCGCUUUGCAAUGGUGAUUUGCAGGAAAACAGUGCAGGAUGCUGUGAUUCGUUUCUUGUGGUCGGAGGUUAUGUUUGAUGCCUAUAUUUAUCAAAGAUUUAAUGCACAUUAUGGAGAAAGUGUUUUGUCACGAAGUGUGUUUGAAUGGGCACAAAAGUUCAAAGAAGAUCGCACGAGUGUUAUGAAAAAACAGCUGGACGCCCGUCCACAUCCACGAUGACAACAUUGAACGUGCUCAUGAACUUAUGCUCUAUGGAAUAGACGAGUGACACUGGAUAAUGUGGCAAAUCAUUUGCAAAUCAGCCACGGCUCUGCUUAUGCAAUAGUGCACGACAGAUUUGGAUUUUAAAAAGUUUGUGCGAGAUGGAUGCCGAAAAAGCUGAUGAAAAGGUGAAGACGACGAUGCAUUCGUGGUUCGCAGCUCAGCCCAAAACAUUUUUUAAUGAGAAAAUACAAAGGUCCUUCGGCAAAUGGACAAAGUGUAUACAGAAAUCGAGUGAUUAUGUCAAAAAAUGAUGUAUGUCUUUUUUGACAAUUGCUUAAAAUAAAUUCUACACCGACAGAGCGGGCUGUUAAUCUAGAGGCUGGAGUACAAAGAAGUGGCACAAUGAUGUGGGCUGAUGACAUUUAUAAUUAUCAAGGAAUCACCCCUACAUUCGCUCAGAAUUUUAAUGAAACUGUCCCUUGGGAAGGAAGAACUGAUACCUUGAUAUCACGGUUUGUACAUCCUAUAUAUACGACAAAUUUUAGAACAUUAUAUAACGAAGAACCAGAUCGUCGUGGCCAUGUGAUGUGAAUAAAAGGACUUGAAUUUGAUGAUAUUUUUAUAAUGUUAGAUAACAUAACUAAGUAUCUUCACAGUAAGAUAGGAUGACAUGGUUUACAUGAUCUUAAUGUU
Bombus huntii is the source of this 1733-nucleotide long non-coding RNA. RefSeq lists it as uncharacterized. The record is from RefSeq and is a predicted model, not a curated record. The transcript is spliced from 4 exons. NCBI's taxonomy places the organism in Eukaryota, Metazoa, Arthropoda, Insecta, Hymenoptera, Apidae.